Drosophila ficusphila is the source of this 700-nucleotide long non-coding RNA. RefSeq lists it as uncharacterized. The transcript has 2 exons. Lineage: Eukaryota; Metazoa; Arthropoda; Insecta; Diptera; Drosophilidae. The record is from RefSeq and is a predicted model, not a curated record.
UCGGAGUAUCAGUAUCGUUUGAAAGGCUUUGAUAUGGUCCGAUCUUGAGAAAGUGAGGCAAUCCCUUCACUCAAGUCGAAAGGGAUUUACUCAUGGCCGAUUUGUAAUCUUGGAAUUUUAAAAGUUUUAAGCGGAUACAGGUUACAGUAAUAUUAUUCACCGAUGAAUUGCUAAUUCAUUAUUCUGAUUAUAAUCGAUUUAAAAUUAACUUGAGACUCUCUGGCGGGCAAUUAAGAUUAACCAGUGGGUCUCGGUCUCGAGUCUUAUCAGUCAAGCACCAAAGGCCACACAUCAGUGGAGCAAUCAAUGAAGGCGAAAUCCUAGAGCUUGCACAUACUUAUUUGCAAAUUGCGUUGAAUGGAAGUGGAUCAUCUGCUCACACCCUCUUCAUAACAGAAACACAAAGGCGCACCCAUAAUAAGGCGAAAAAACUGGAAAGGAAUGUUUGAAGCUUUGACAACAGACAUUUUUAUACCCUUUGCAAUGUUUACCAAAAUUGUUUAACUACAUAUUUGAUGAGCUUCAGAUUUCCAAAAAAUUUUUAAAGUUGAACAUUAAAAGAAACAUUUUUUAGGAUAAAAUAAAUCCAGUCCAAACUAUAUUGAGCUCAAAAUUUAUAAAUGUAAACUUAACUCAAUGAAUAACUCAAGAGGAAAGACAUUCAAAUGCAAAUAUAUAAAUUGAUAACGAAUUAUAAGAA